CCCGCUGAACUUAAGCAUAUCAUUAAGCGGAGGAAAAGAAAAUAACUAUGAUUACCUCAGUAGCGGCGAGCGAAGCGGUAAGAGCCCAAAUUGGAAAUCCAAGCAAUUGGAAUUGUAAUCUAAAGACUGACUCCAAUCUCCGCCUCGAAGCCUAAGUGCCUUGGAACAGGCCGCCAAAGAAGGUGAUAGCCCUGUGCGGGUUCGAGCGAGAAGUAGGAUGAGGAUCGAAGAGUCGUGUUGCCUGGAAUCGCAGCACUAAAUGGGAGAUAAACUUCUUCUAAGGCUAAAUAACUAUGGGAGACCGAUAGCGUACAAGUACUGUGAAGGAAAGAUGAAAAGAACUUUGAAAAGAGAGUUAACAGACCUGAAACUGUUGAGAAGGAAGCGGUAGAAGAUUAUUAUUCGGCUUUGGGCUAACUGACGGGCGUAAACAUCCGGGGCGUAGGUUACUGUUAAAAGGGCCUUGUUUCGUAUGGUAUUCUCUAGGGUGCCCUUUGUUGAUAGGCAAGAUGGGCUCGAUCGCAUCAAAUCCUACUUAUAGCUCGGAGGUUUACUUCCACUGUAGGCAAGGCUGUUGCGAUUGUAGUCGAGGGGCUUCGGCGAUCUUGUCAAAAUGUCUUUUACUGUCCCGUCUUGAAACACGG
This 644-nucleotide ribosomal RNA is filed under the name uncultured fungus. Its description in RNAcentral is "eukaryotic LSU rRNA". It matches the Rfam family "Eukaryotic large subunit ribosomal RNA", at positions 24 to 664 of the family's 3401-position model. Lineage: Eukaryota; Fungi. The record is from RNAcentral.